This is a long non-coding RNA of Neopsephotus bourkii (Bourke's parrot), 3127 nucleotides long. RefSeq lists it as uncharacterized. NCBI's taxonomy places the organism in Eukaryota, Metazoa, Chordata, Aves, Psittaciformes, Psittacidae. The transcript is spliced from 2 exons. The record is from RefSeq and is a predicted model, not a curated record.
UGCUGUUUUUUAAUACUAUCUUCAGUUUUAGUUUUAUUAUGCUGUCAUUCACAAUAGGCUCACAUGACUAUCAAACCCACUAGAUAUUUUGCCAAUAAGAUUUGAAAAUGUAACAACAGUAAAAUAACAUUUUCAUGAACAAAAGAAUUGUGCUUCAAGGCAUACCGAGAUCUUGUUAUGUGAGCUUUCAGUAAACCUAGUGGCUUUGCUUGUUCUCAUAACUUCUUUAGAACUUUCUUCAUGGAAUUGACAGUGAGUUUUUAAUAAUUUCAUGUAUACAUUAUUUUUCAAAUAAUAGUAUUCCUUGAGGUAAAUUUGAUUUAUGUUAGUAUAAUAAUGAGUAGAGCAUCUGCACCAAAUAUUAAUUUAAAUGAAAAUGUAGUUUUAUAGCUAACUUUUAGUCAUUCAGCUCACUAAAGUUUACUCAUCUAGGCUUCCUGUAGAGGCAGUAGGGAGGAGAGCAGUUAUUUACUACACUAAUGGUAAGUGCUUAAGAUAGGUGAGAUGAAUCACUAGCCCAGGGUGUCUCUGUCUUUCUCUGCUAGUUACAGAAGGAACCUACGUCAUUUUGGACAAAACGGGUGUCUUCUGGGUGACUGUAACAGCGAGAGAAAUUUAAUGUCUGAUAUUCUUGACUUUCAGCUGAUAAUUUCCCAUCAUUCUGUUAGCAGAUUUUUACAUAAUGUCAGCCUUAUUGACAAAAUAGUGCAUGUAUCUUAAGGUUUGCAUGUAAAAUAUUAACAAACGAAAGACCAAACAGCAUACACAUGCACAGUUUCCAUUUUUCACAAAUUUACAUGGAGCUUCAUACAAUCAGGAAAGAUUGCUGAAUGUGGAGAUGAAGUUGAAAGGGAAAGCACGGGAAAAAUGGUUCCUAAUUUUUCCCACUUGAAAUAAUUGGCAUUAAAAUAUAUAUUUCUUUCUAGAGAUGUGAACUUUUAGAAAUUGUCACUUCCAGAAAUUUUUUCUGUAGAGCUUACAUCAAACCUUAGUCAAAUUGGUAUGCCACUGGCACUUAGGACAGUUGUUUCAAAAUAGUUUUUAAAUUAGUUGUCUGUAGUUAUUUGCAGAACGUGUUACAUUAACAUAGUCUCUUCUUCACUAUAGUGUUAGUCUUGCAGGUCACUUCUCUGUUGAAUCCAGUAGUUUCCCCACUCCCAUCACUUCUCCCACAACAUAAAAAGAAUGCAUAAAGAACAGUUAUGCUGGCCUGGGGUUGCUGCUUCUCCUUGGUAGUCCAGGGUUUACAGCAGUGACAGGGAGACUGGUCUGGAUCUACACAAUACUUAAGUAAUUUACUGUUCUUAGUACAGAUUGCUGAAAUUUAAUUUGAGCUGAUCAGCUGAAAGUAGAAUGUCUUUGCUCACUAAAAUAAUUUCAGGUACAUCUGUAUCUGAAUUCUCUAGUUGUUCUUAGCACAGGUGGAAUCCAGUUACAUUGUUUGGUUAUGCAGCUACUUUCUUCAGGUGUUGGUAUGCAAAAUAGGAGUAGUGAUAAUAUUUUUGGUAUUUUAUUAAAUGUUAUUCAUUAGUUUUAAUGACUAACAUAAAGCUUAAACUUAACACAUUAUUAGAAAGUCUACAUAAAAUCUCACAGGUUUAUGCAGCACCUCACUGCAGAGGAAUGCUAAACAUACUUUGCCGUGGUAACUUGUAGCUGUGUUAUGCACCUUCUGAAUACAGGCAGCAUCCAAAUUAUUAGUGUGUGCUUGUAUAUGGAUGGUAUAUGUACCUGGCAUGCUGCUUGCUGCUUUUCUUCAGCAGCUGUCCUGUAAAUAGCUGGAUUUUUAAUUAAUAUUUAAUAACCCUAAAUAGGGUAAUUAGGGUCUGGGAUGGAGGGGAUGGAGUUAACAUUUAAUGCAGACAGUUCUAUAUCAGAAAGUUGUUUUUACUUUAUGCUACAGAAAAGCUUUUCAGACAGGUUGUGCAGUCCUCAGUGUCUGGCUUGCCAUUUGCCUUCUGUUAAACAUCCUUUGCUUGCUUUAUGAAUUUUCAUUUGGAAAAGUAAAAGCAUUUCACAGGUGGAAAGCCAGAAUUUUUGCCUUGUGAGGUACUUCUGAUGGUAAAAGUACCUGUCUGACUUAAACAUUCAGCACAAUAAAUGUGCUUCUUAAAAAUAAAAAUUUGGAAUUCUGUAUGUAGCUCUAAUGAUUUGAAUUUUAAUCCCCAUAACUCCUGGUUUUAUAUAGAUUUUCUAUGCAGGUAGGUUAAGAUUUAUUUUGGUUGUUGAAGAAAUGAUUAUGUAUUGCUUUAUAGUCCUGUAUCUUUGUAAAGAAAUAUGCUUUUUAUUCCUUAGGAUAGCUUAAACUGAUACAUAAAAAUGAAAAAGAUGGCAUUACUUUGGUUAAUUCUUUAGAGAUCAUGUAGCUGUUUGUUCAGGUUCUGAAGCUUUCUGAAAUGUUCGUCAAACAGAGUGUAGGCUGUCCAAUGCCUCCUUGAAAAAUGUUGAAGUACUUGAGUUUUGUUUGUAUUGUAGAGGGAACACUGUGCACAAACACUUCAUUAUUAUUUUUUUUUAACUGCAUUAUCUCUGUAAAAUCCUGGGUUCUUUGCCCUAGGGAGCCAGACUUCUAGAGCACACAUGACAUUCCUCUUCUUGGGAUAGCACUUAUCCAUGCUUUCAGUAGAAAGAAUAGUUUCAUUCUUUUCUCAACAUCUGCAGAUUUUUGCCACCGGAGUCUUCAUUCAGGCUGUAAAGCAGAAGUUUUCGCCAACAGUAAGAUUAGUUGCUCUGAAGUGAGAUGGACACCACUUGAUCAGUGUAGCCUUUGGCCUAUAUAGUUCAGCUGGGAGUUGGUUGUUGAGGUGACUUAAUAGGUUUUCAGUAUUCUUAUAGUCAUUAUUAGGUCUUUGACAAGAAGGAAACAAAGAUUUGAUAAGGUGUACCAUACUCAAGUUUCAUUUACAAAACUUGCCAUAAUAGUGUGCUGUCAUGGAUAAUUAAAAGCAGGCUGUAUUAAUCUGACAAAAGUAGGUUUUGCUCAAUCCCUUUUUUUUCAGUUCUUUACCUGUUAAUUAGAAAAUUAGUUCCUUGGUACUUCAGUCACUGCAGUGGAGUUGGAAGAUUCAUAAUUUUGUCUUUAUGAAACUAAUGGCUCCUUUUUAAAAAUAUGGUAGCAAAAACUGUG